GAUGAACGCUGACAGAAUGCUUAACACAUGCAAGUCGAUGGGGAAGUGGUGCUUGCACCAUGGCAACCAUGGCGGACGGGUGAGUAACGCGUAAGGGACUUACCUGCAGGACUGGGAUAACAGGGGGAAACUCCUGACAAGACCGGAUAAUGUCAUGGAGCUGCAUGGCUUUAUGAUGAAAGGAGACGCCUGCGGAGAGCCUUGCGUCCUAUUAGCUAGUUGGUGAGGUAAUGGCUCACCAAGGCGAAGAUAGGUAGCCGGCCUGAGAGGGUGGACGGCCACAAGGGGACUGAGAUACGGCCCUUACUCCUACGGGAGGCAGCAGUGGGGAAUAUUGGACAAUGGGGGCAACCCUGAUCCAGCAAUUCUGUGUGCACGAAGAAGGUUUUCGGAUUGUAAAGUGCUUUCAGCAGGGAAGAAGUAAGUGACGGUACCUGCAGAAGAAGCGA
Molecule: ribosomal RNA, 449 nt
Filed under: Leptotrichia sp. oral taxon 212
Lineage: Bacteria; Fusobacteriati; Fusobacteriota; Fusobacteriia; Fusobacteriales; Leptotrichiaceae
Description: bacterial SSU rRNA
Rfam family: Bacterial small subunit ribosomal RNA
Source: RNAcentral